CGACUGUUGGAACCUACAUCGUUUCGGACAAAACAGCUGGCGCAACGCUUACCUACGCAAUAACUUCUGGAAACACAAACACUGAUUUCACCUUCACUGCUGCCGGCGUGUUAAAGGUAGCAACUGGAAAGACGCUGGCGCAGAAAACCACCGAGAAAUACACGUUGGUGCUGGGGGUGGCGGAAUCCGGAGGAGCUUCAUCCGCUGACGCUGGAUCAACCAUAGUCACGAUCACCGUUACCACAUGCGGGUGCUCUGCAUUGGCGGCGACACUGGGGCUCACUUUGCCUUCGAUGGUCGUUGCCGUUUCCGCUUAAGGUGGCCCUUGGGGGGGGGGGG
Molecule: RNA transcript, 339 nt
Organism: Dreissena polymorpha
Lineage: Eukaryota; Metazoa; Mollusca; Bivalvia; Myida; Dreissenidae
Exons: 2
Source: RefSeq, a predicted model, not a curated record